Molecule: ribosomal RNA, 520 nt
Filed under: uncultured Glomus
Lineage: Eukaryota; Fungi; Glomeromycota; Glomeromycetes; Glomerales; Glomeraceae
Description: SSU rRNA
Rfam family: Eukaryotic small subunit ribosomal RNA
Source: RNAcentral
AGCAGCCGCGGUAAUUCCAGCUCCAAUAGCGUAUAUUAAAGUUGUUGCAGUUAAAAAGCUCGUAGUUGAAUUUCGGGACCAAUCUGCCGGUCGUGCCUCCGGUAUGCACUGGUUUUAUUGGUUUCUCCCUUCUGACGAAUCAUGAUGUCAUUAAUUUGGUGUCAUGGGGAAUCAGGACUGUUACUUUGAAAAAAUUAGAGUGUUUAAAGCAGGCUCACGCUUGAAUACAUUAGCAUGGAAUAAUGAAAUAGGACGUUUGACCCUAUUUUGUUGGUUUCUAGGAUCGACGUAAUGAUUAAUAGGGGAUAGUUGGGGGGCAUUAGUAUUCAAUUGUCAGAGGUGAAAUUCUUGGAUUUAUUGAAGACUAACUACUGCGAAAGCAUUUGCCAAGGAUGUUUUCAUUAAUCAAGAACGAAAGUUAGGGGAUCGAAGACGAUCAGAUACCGUCGUAGUCUUAACCAUAAACUAUGCCGACUAGGGAUCGGAUGAUGUUAUUUUUUAAUGACUCAUUCGGCACCUU